Molecule: small nucleolar RNA, 121 nt
Filed under: Ochotona princeps (American pika)
Lineage: Eukaryota; Metazoa; Chordata; Mammalia; Lagomorpha; Ochotonidae
Description: Small nucleolar RNA SNORA63 (ENSOPRG00000020704.1)
Source: RNAcentral
AAGCAGAAUUCAGAUUGCAAUAUAGCUGUUCAGUCAUUCGCCCUGCUCAAAAUAAGGUUGUCUCUUACUAUACCUCUCUGCUAUCCUUCUGUAGCAGCCAGGGACGCUUGGUCUCAUAUAU